AAACACGGCAGCGCAAAUCGGAUUAUCGGACACAUCGCUCGGUACUCACACUCCACUCUCAGUGGAGAUAGCCUUUGGCAAGUCUUCAGUAGCAUCGACCAUCGCCUCCACUCCCUGCCCGAGUCCUGGCCGCCGGCUCCCAGGGCCACCCCCUCACCGGCUUCCCCACGACCGGCGCAAGGAGAUCCCCCGCCCCUGCGUCCCGCCGCUGCAGCGAGUUCUACCUCUCUCAUGUCUCCUUACCGCUACAGCAAGAACCAGACCUUCCCCUGCCUCCCUACCGCUGCAGCGAGUUCUGUUCAGCAAACAUCACGCCCGCAACCCGGUUGAUGGAUCCACAACACCGGAAUCCUCCUCCUGCGCGAAAAACCUAUGAACCGGAGUAAGUGCAGACGGACGCUGGUGUGCUCCGACGGGCAGUGUUGCAACCAUCCAGCAAUGGAUGGUCGACGUCCCUCCCCACCUCGCUCGCCGUGGCCUAUCGGAGAAUCCCGCCCGGCAAAUCGCUCGUAUCCUACUGCUUCCGCGCCUCUCCAACAGGUCUGCAUCUCUACAAGAACUCCCUGAAGGUGCUGAUGAUGGAGUUGUAAACUUUUUCGCCGAUGCUGACAUACUUGCAUAUAUCCCGACUGGCCAAAUGACCUCGGUGAGAAACCUAUGGAGGUUUGUUUCAUAGUGGAUGUAUGCUGCGGAGUCUGCUAAGGCUUCAGGGAAUGAUAAUUUCAGGUUAAUUCUAACUUGGCUAAGCUCCACCUUUUUUAUAAGGAACGGGUCCUCACCCAGCCACACACAAUGGAGCUGGCAGCCUGAGCUCUGCAACAUCAGGAAUGUCCAACUGCAAAAUGAGCUUCUGGGUUCUCAUCAUGGACAACCGAGCGUGCAAUCUCAUGCAGCUGGUGCAAGUAUUUUUCUUGAAGUAAUGUGAGUUCUCCCUCUAGAGAAAAUGGUAAUUGUUCCAUCAGUGUCUUCUGUCUACCAUGAGUAUGCAAUGAAAAACCAAAAUACCAGUGUUUAUCUUCAGUGUAGAAAGAAGAAGUUACAAGUGGGGAUUCCAGGCGAAGCGAGAGUACGGCCUUGGUGCUAUUAUUCUCUUCGAGCAGGCGCAUCCGAGGCUAAGUUGUACUGCCAUGGUUAGUCCGUAAGGUUGAGAUUGCUUGCAUCAAUAUUCUGCUCAAUUCUGGCCCGAGCUUUUGUACAUCAAAUAUUCUUUCUAGGCGUAAUAUUCUGCCAUUAUCCUGCUUUUGUACAUCAAAUAUUCUACCUGGGCGCAAUUCACGUCCUUAUUAACCUUGAUUCCAUGUUUCUUCA
Molecule: long non-coding RNA, 1308 nt
Organism: Lolium perenne
Lineage: Eukaryota; Viridiplantae; Streptophyta; Magnoliopsida; Poales; Poaceae
Source: RefSeq, a predicted model, not a curated record